Molecule: ribosomal RNA, 2955 nt
Filed under: Triticum aestivum (bread wheat)
Lineage: Eukaryota; Viridiplantae; Streptophyta; Magnoliopsida; Poales; Poaceae
Description: partial small subunit ribosomal RNA
Source: RNAcentral
AUGCCGCCCUUGGCUGCUGAGGUGCUGCCCGAUGUCAGCCACAACACUACAGAGGCGCAGUCCUUGGCUGCCGAGGUGCUGCCUGAAGUCAGCCACAACGCUCCCGAGGCGCCGCCCUUGGCUGCCGAGAUGCUGCCCGAGGUCAGCCACAACGCUCCCGAGGCGCCGCCCUUGGCUGCCGAGAUGCUGCCCGAGGUCAGCCACAACGCUCCCGAGGCGCCGCCCUUGGCUGCCGAGAUGCUGCCGGUGGCCAACCAAGAUGCUGCCGCCGAGGCGUCACCCAAGGCCAGCCACUCUGACGACAUCGUCAUGGUGGACGCCGAGGCGCAGCUCAAUGCUCAAGGCGACGCAGACCUCAUGGGCCCCUGCGCAUUCCCGGCGCCCAUGGAGAAGAAGAAGAAGGAAGAGGAGGGGGAUGGGUCCAAUGCUGCCGUCCCCCCUCAGCACCAAAUGGAUGCGCAUCCUGCUCCUGUAACAGAGGCUGAAUCUGCCGGCGAGGCGGCAACACAGGACACGGGAGUCGAGCCCAGCACUGCUGCUGCACAUGCAAUGCCAGACGCUGAAGAGGGUGCUAGCAUGGAAUUGGACGCACCUUUGGCUUUGCUUGAGUUCACUGCUGGAUCAAGUGGACACAGUGUACUGGACAGUGUGUUGGCUGAUACUCCUAUGGCCGCCGAGGAUGCCACCAUGCCUGCUUCCAUUGCCAUGGAUGCUGAGGAUGCCGCCACACCAGUUUCCACUGCCAAGACCGUCAAGCCUAAAAGACGCUUCACACGGUCGCUGCUUGGACUGGACAGAGAGACCGCAGCCAGUGAAAUUAUAGGAGAUGUCUCGCUUGAUUUGUCUGCAACACCAGGGAGGAGGUUCACAAGGUCACUGCUCAAGCCAAAGGUGGAGGUGCCUCCUGCCAGCAGCCCGGUUGUGCCUGAAGAGCCCGUUGAAAGCACACCAGAGACCCCUCCAUCGGUGACCAAGAUGGAGAUGAAGAUGUCCAAGAAAGUUGCCUGCCUCUCAAAGCACCCAGGCAACACCAGAGAUUUGCUCAGCACAGGACUGCUCGAGGGAAUGCCGGUUAUGUACAUCAUCCCUAAUAGCAAGUUGCAGAAGCCUGUGCUUAAAGGUGUGAUUGCAGGUUGCAAUAUAUGUUGCUUUUGUGUUAAGUGUGAUGGCUCCAAGGCUAUUACUACAUAUUUCUUUGAACUACAUGCUGGAAGCAGCAAAAAACACCCUGCAGAGUACAUCUACUUAGCAAAUGGUAAUAGUUUGCGGGAUGUGCUGCGUGCCUGUGAAAGUUCUCCUUUGGAUUCUCUAGAUAAAACAAUCCAGUCCUGCAUUGAUCCCAUGCUUACAAGGACCCGCACGAAUUGUCUGAACUGCAACUGUGAGCUACCUUCACAAACGGAAGAACAGUUUCUGUGCCAUCAGUGUUGCCCAGAGUCGAACCAACCUCAAGAUCCUACUUCUCCGUUGGCAUACAGCAAGAGCAGUUCCAGUCUGACUCCAAGUUCCAAGGAAUCUUUGUUGAAGAGGAUGUCGGCAAGCAAAGGCGCAAGUACCGGAAAAGUAACAACAAAGGAUACGGGGCUACACAAACUGGUAUUCAAGGUUUUGCUUGACGGUACUGAAGUAACCUACUAUGUUGAUGGGCAGAAAAUAAUCGAUGGAUACAUCAAGGAUCAAAGAAUCUACUGUAACCAUUGCAACAAAGUGGUCAGCCCCUCAGCGUUCGAAGCUCAUGCGGGUGAGGGAUCAAGACGCAAACCGUAUGACAACAUCUAUACGUCAAAUGGGGUAUCCCUGCAUGAGCUGUCGAUGAGAAUAUCAAAAGACAUGCAAUUGUCGGAACGUGAAACUGAUGAUCUGUGCAGAGAAUGUGGUCUAGGAGGGGAUAUUUUCCCUUGCAAAAUGUGUCCAAGGUCAUUUCACCCAGCUUGCGUUGGGCUGCCUGGAGUUCCCUUGGAGGAGUGGUUUUGUGAUAACUGCACCAUCCUCGUUCAGAAAGAAAAGGCUUUAGCAGCAAAUAAGAAUGCCAAGGCUGCUGGGAGGCAGGCCGGAGUCGAUUCCAUUGAGCAGAUUUUGAAGAGGGCUAUUAGAAUCGUCCCAAUCUGUGAUGACCUUGGAGGAUGCGCCUUAUGCAAGAAAAAGGAUUUUAACAAUUCAGUAUUUGAUGAGCGCACUGUGAUACUCUGUGAUCAAUGCGAGAAAGAGUACCAUGUAGGAUGUUUGAGGAGCGAAUGGCAGGUCGACCUGAAGGAAUUACCAGAAGGGGAGUGGUUCUGUUGUGAUAGUUGCUCUGAGAUACGCUCCUCUUUGGACAAGAUGAUUUCUGAAGGAGCUCAGCCUUUGUCGGAGUCAGACCUUGAUAUCAUAAGGAAGAAGCACGAGUCAAAAGGUUUGAUCAUGGACACCAAUACAGAGAUCAGAUGGCAAUUGGUUGCUGGUAGAAGUGCCACUGAAGAUGGCAACUCAUUGCUUUCUUCUGCUGUCCCAGUUAUUCAUCAAUCUUUUGAUCCAAUCAUCGAAGCCCAUACUGGUAGGGAUCUAAUUCCUGAGAUGGUCCACGGGAGGAGACCUAAAGAAGGAAUGCCAGGCCAAGAUUACAGUGGAAUGUACUGUGCGGUCUUAACUGUAGGUUCUACUGUCGUGUCGGCAGCACUUUUGCGUGUCAUGGGAGGUGACGUGGCCGAACUGCCACUGGUUGCUACAAGUAUGGAUCUUCAAGGACUGGGCUACUUCCAAGUGUUGUUCUCAUGCAUCGAAAGGCUGCUAGUUUCGCUGAAGGUGAAGCACUUCAUGCUUCCGGCCGCCCAUGAAGCUGAAGCCAUCUGGAUGAAGAAGUUUGGCUUCUCUAAAAUCCCUCAGGAUGAGAUGGAAGCUUAUCUUAACGGGGGACACCUCACCGUAUUCCAUGGAACCUUGAACCUGUACAAGGCCGUUCCAUUGCCUGAAUCUUAG